This 1476-nucleotide ribosomal RNA is filed under the name uncultured Spirochaetota bacterium. Its description in RNAcentral is "bacterial SSU rRNA". It matches the Rfam family "Bacterial small subunit ribosomal RNA". Lineage: Bacteria; Pseudomonadati; Spirochaetota. The record is from RNAcentral.
UCCUGGCUCAGAACGAACGCUGGCGGCGCGUCUUAAGCAUGCAAGUCGGGCGGCAAGGGGGAGCAAUCCUCCCUAGAGCGGCGGACUGGUGAGUAACGCGUGGGCGACCUGCCUUGGGGAUGGGGACAGCCGCUGGAAACAGCGGGUAAUACCGAAUACGACCGUCAGCUUGAGGGCUGACGGGGAAAGGGGCUAAGGCCCCGCCCUGAGAUGGACCCGCGUCCCAUUAGCUGGUUGGUGUGGUAAGAGCGCACCAAGGCGAAGAUGGGUAGCCGGCCUGAGAGGGCGAACGGCCACACUGGGACUGAGAUACGGCCCAGACUCCUACGGGAGGCAGCAGCUAAGAAUAUUCCGCAAUGGACGAAAGUCUGACGGAGCGACGCCGCGUGGAUGACGAAGGCCGAAAGGUUGUAAAAUUCUUUUGCGGGCGAAGAAGAAGGCGGGCAGGGAAUGGCCCGCCGGUGACGCCGGCCCGCGAAUAAGCCCCGGCUAAUUACGUGCCAGCAGCCGCGGUAACACGUAAGGGGCGAGCGUUGUUCGGAAUUAUUGGGCGUAAAGGGCGCAUAGGCGGUUAGAUAAGUCUGGCGUGAAAGGCGGGAGCUUAACUCCCGGACUGCGUUAGAAACUGUGUAACUAGAGUCAUGGAGGGGGAGUUGGAAUUCCUGGUGUAGGGGUGAAAUCUGUAGAUAUCAGGAAGAACACCGAUGGCGAAGGCAGGCUUCCAGCCGAUGACUGACGCUGAGGCGCGAAAAGCGCGGGGAGCAAACAGGAUUAGAUACCCUGGUAGUCCGCGCCGUAAACGAUGCGCACUAGGCGUCGGGGCGAGCGUUCCGGUGCCGAAGCGAACGCGAUAAGUGCACCGCCUGGGGAGUAUGCCCGCAAGGGUGAAACUCAAAGGAAUUGACGGGGGCCCGCACAAGCGGUGGAGCAUGUGGUUUAAUUCGAAGCAACGCGAAGAACCUUACCAAGAAUUGACAUCUACCUUUUAACUUAUGGAAACAUAGGAAGCCUUCGGGCGAGGUAAGACAGGUGGUGCAUGGUUGUCGUCAGCUCGUGUCGUGAGAUGUUGGGUUAAGUCCCGCAACGAGCGCAACCCUUGCGUCUAGUAGCCAGCGGGCAAAGCCGGGCACACUAGAGGGACUGCCGUGGAUAACACGGAGGAAGGUGGGGACGACGUCAAAUCAUCAUGCCCCUUAUGUCCAGGGCUACACACGUGCUACAAUGGGCGGUACAGAGCGGAGCGAAGCCGCGAGGCGCAGGCGAAUCGCUUAAAGCCGCCCGUAGUCCGGAUUGAAGUCUGAAACCCGACUUCAUGAAGCUGGAAUCGCUAGUAAUCGCGCAUCAGCAUGGCGCGGUGAAUACGUUCCCGGGCCUUGUACACACCGCCCGUCACACCAUCCGAGUUGGGGGCACCCGAAGCCGGCAGUCUAACCGCAAGGGGGACGCUGUCGAAGGUGCGCCGGGCGAGGAGGGUGA